RNAcentral lists this ribosomal RNA (157 nucleotides) under uncultured bacterium. RNAcentral describes it as "partial 16S ribosomal RNA". It matches the Rfam family "Bacterial small subunit ribosomal RNA", at positions 359 to 539 of the family's 1533-position model. The record is from RNAcentral.
UCGGGUGCGAUGGGCGGAGCUGACGCAGCGACGCCGCGUGAGGGUGACGGCCUUCGGGUUGUAAACCUCUUUCAGCAGGGACGAAUGUGACGGUACCUGUAGAAGAAGCACCGGCUAACUACGUGCCAGCAGCCGCGGUAAUUAAUACGGCUUAAGC